RNAcentral lists this transfer RNA (86 nucleotides) under Actinobacteria bacterium ADurb.Bin444. RNAcentral describes it as "tRNA-Ser". It matches the Rfam family "tRNA". From Rfam's summary of the family: Transfer RNA (tRNA) molecules are approximately 80 nucleotides in length. Their secondary structure includes four short double-helical elements and three loops (D, anti-codon, and T loops). Lineage: Bacteria; Bacillati; Actinomycetota. The record is from RNAcentral. RNAcentral also lists the same sequence under 1 other name.
GGGCGAGUGGCGGAAUUGGCAGACGCGCUAGGUUCAGGGUCUAGUGAGCUACGCUCAUGGGGGUUCAAGUCCCCCCUCGCCCACCA